Long non-coding RNA from Homo sapiens (human), 470 nucleotides. NCBI's taxonomy places the organism in Eukaryota, Metazoa, Chordata, Mammalia, Primates, Hominidae. The record is from Ensembl.
UUGAAAGGGACGGGCAUUUAGUAAUGAGAUAUGCACAGCAGCAUAGUCAGCUGUGUGGUGCAUUCUCAGCUGUGCCUCAGCAGCCCUGAUGCAGACAUCCAGAAGGAGCACAGCCACUUUAUCCAGAGCAAUCAGCCAUGACUGCCUUUGCACUGUCCAUGCUCUCAGCCCACCACCUCCUCCCCCUGCCAUUGCAGUGGCUAACACUGGAGACGAAGACCAAGACACCACCGCCUUUCUCCAGUACCACUCAAAUCAGCACAGGCAAGGACAAAGGCCUCAAUCCACAACUGCUGAAGAUGGACCCUGGCCACAUGGGAUGGUCAGACACGCCUGCCCAGCUAUCUGCAGGCGAAGAGGCUCAGAAGAGGUUUAGGGGCCUGAAGGACAUCUUGCUUCCAUGUCCAUAUGAGCAGGCUAUUUCUGCUCCAUGAGUCAAUUUUGCCAUAUAAAAUACUUAAUUUCAGCCA